UGCAAAAAUGCGUCGGAGCCAGCCGCCUAAGGUGGGACAGAUGAUUGGGGUGAAGUCGUAACAAGGUAGCCGUAUCGGAAGGUGCGGCUGGAUCACCUCCUUU
This 103-nucleotide ribosomal RNA is filed under the name Halalkalibacter oceani. RNAcentral's name for it is "Bacterial small subunit ribosomal RNA". It matches the Rfam family "Bacterial small subunit ribosomal RNA", at positions 1434 to 1533 of the family's 1533-position model. The record is from Rfam by way of RNAcentral. Lineage: Bacteria; Bacillati; Bacillota; Bacilli; Caryophanales; Bacillaceae.